Molecule: ribosomal RNA, 475 nt
Filed under: uncultured organism
Description: partial 16S ribosomal RNA
Rfam family: Bacterial small subunit ribosomal RNA
Source: RNAcentral
ACUCCUACGGGAGGCAGCAGUGGGGAAUUUUGGACAAUGGGCGAAAGCCUGAUCCAGCAAUGCCGCGUGAGUGAAGAAGGCCUUCGGGUUGUAAAGCUCUUUUGUCAGGGAAGAAACGGUGAGAGCUAAUAUCUCUUGCUAAUGACGGUACCUGAAGAAUAAGCACCGGCUAACUACGUGCCAGCAGCCGCGGUAAUACGUAGGGUGCAAGCGUUAAUCGGAAUUACUGGGCGUAAAGCGUGCGCAGGCGGUUUUGUAAGUCUGAUGUGAAAUCCCCGGGCUCAACCUGGGAAUUGCAUUGGAGACUGCAAAGCUAGAAUCUGGCAGAGGGGGGUAGAAUUCCACGUGUAGCAGUGAAAUGCGUAGAUAUGUGGAGGAACACCGAUGGCGAAGGCAGCCCCCUGGGUCAAGAUUGACGCUCAUGCACGAAAGCGUGGGGAGCAAACAGGAUUAGAAACCCCGGUAGUCCCAUGAU